GUGCAGCAGGCGAGAAAACUGACCAAUGCGCGAAAGCGUGAGUCGGUCAAUCCGAGUGUAGACCCAUCGGUUUACUUUUGUCAUGUGUACAACGCUUGGCGAAUAAUGUGAGGGCAAGACUGGUGCCAGCCGCCGCGGUAAAACCAGCUCAUAGAGUGGUGAUCAUGAUUAUUUGGCUUAAAGUGUGCGUAGCAGGGAAUUCUAAGUCCUCUGCGAAAUGUCAGGUCUUAAGCUUGACACGUGCAGAGGAUACUGGAAUCCUUGGGACUGGGAUAGGUGUAAUGUACGGUUUGGGUAGGGGUGAAAUCCGAUAAUCCAAGCCGGACAACCGGUGGCGAAGGCGUUACACUGGAACAGGUCCGACUGUGAGGCACGAAAGCUAGGGUCGCGAGCCGGAUUAGAUACCCCCGUAGUCC
RNAcentral lists this ribosomal RNA (416 nucleotides) under uncultured archaeon. RNAcentral describes it as "bacterial SSU rRNA". It matches the Rfam family "Archaeal small subunit ribosomal RNA", at positions 330 to 747 of the family's 1478-position model. The record is from RNAcentral.